This 352-nucleotide long non-coding RNA is filed under the name Vigna radiata. Its description in RNAcentral is "long non-coding RNA (VRAD_LNC008775)". The record is from RNAcentral. Lineage: Eukaryota; Viridiplantae; Streptophyta; Magnoliopsida; Fabales; Fabaceae.
UAUCUAUAGACCAAAAAGAUAAUAGAAUCUAAGCCAAAUAAAAACAGAUAACCGCUCAAUGCCUAAUUAAACCGCUUAGCGCCUAAUUAAACCGCUCAGUGAUUUCCCUCUUAGUCGCGCCACCGCUCAGCGGUCAGUUUUACCGCUGAGCGGUUUGCCUCUAAUCGCUUUGGACACUCAACGUUAGUUUUGGCCGUUGAGCGGUGCAUAGACUCUUCUUUCUUCCUUUUUCUUCUUCCUUCUUGAGUCUAAGUUCGUCCUAAUUCACUUCCAUCUUCAAUUCUCAUAAAAAACCAUGCAAAAUAAUGCAAAAACAAGCAUAAUAUCUCUAAAACCAACUUUUGACUCCCUC